GGUUGUGGCUCAGUGAUAGAGUGCUCGCCUCACAUGGUGAGGCACUGGGUUCAAUUCUCAGCACCA
This 66-nucleotide transfer RNA is filed under the name Marmota monax (woodchuck). RNAcentral describes it as "tRNA.Val". Lineage: Eukaryota; Metazoa; Chordata; Mammalia; Rodentia; Sciuridae. The record is from RNAcentral.